Molecule: long non-coding RNA, 1480 nt
Organism: Felis catus (domestic cat)
Lineage: Eukaryota; Metazoa; Chordata; Mammalia; Carnivora; Felidae
Exons: 3
Source: RefSeq, a predicted model, not a curated record
GAGAACGGAGGUUUGCCCGAGGUCGCAGAGACCGUUCGAGGAUGCCUCUCACAUCUCCUGACCUUCUGUGACGCAGGGACGCCCACGCUCAUCAGGGCUUGUAAGUCUGGGAGGGCCUCCAGGAGGAAGUGUGCGCGCGUGCUUGCGCAUGCGCCGCCGGGGGAGGGCGGGAGAGCCUCAGGUGGCGAAGGGGCGAGGGGCGAGGGCGGGGCGGCGUGGGAACCGGCAGGACGGCCCGGGGGGCCCGAGGCGCGGGGAGGGGGCGCCGCGCUUACCGCAAGGUUCCGCCCCUCGGCGGGCGCAGACAAUGGGGUCGCUGUGCCCGGCCGCCCCCUCCCCUCGCUCGGCGGCCCGCGCCCGCCCCCUCUCCCCAAAGCUGCUUUCAAUUUAAACGCCUCCAACCAGCGGGCGCUGCCCCGGGGGGCGCGACCGCAGCGCCGAGCGCCCCUGUAAUUUCCGCGGGGAGCUGACCGGCUCAAACACGGCCCCGCGGUGCCCCGACCGCAGGCCCCGAGACCGGAGACGGCGCCCAGACAGCCUUGCCCGGGUCGUGGGAGCGCCGCUGGGGCGGCCUCCUCGCGCGGCGCCCCGCCGCCUCCUCCAGGCAGCCCACCGCCACCCCGGGGAGCCGCUCCUCCGGGAAGCCUGCGUGCCUUCCCCAAAGUGAUGCUCCCUUGGGGCCCCUCACACCUCUGCAAGCUCAGCCCCCUUUGGGGGAGCGGGGAGGAGACGACGGGGUCAGGAGUGUCCGUUCUCUUAAUGUGCACUGUGUCUCCCGCAUCAGACUGGAGGCGACCUGAGGGCAGGGGUUCUUUCUUUGCAGACUGGGGGAACGUGAGUGAACUGACCUAUAGUUCCUGCUUGGCCUGCUGAGAAACUGGGAAGAAGGCCCUGCCUGAAUGGUCUCAGAGGAGUGGGUGGGUGUGGACACAGUGAAUUUGCCUGCAGAUCCCCUGGCUGUACCCAGGCGGGGCCAAAAGGGUAGCUGCACGCGAGGAAGAAUUUUCCGAGUGCUGGUUAAGAGGCUCCAGGGACUUGUCCAGGUUGGGCCCUGAGUGGUGCCGGUGAACAUACGUGCCAAGGCUCCCUUCUGGCCUAAAGCACUUCCUCUGUGCCCUGCUGCUUUCUGCCUAGAAGUUGUGCCCACCUACCCUCCCUCCCCAGAACUUUGGAGGGGACGUGUUUUGCUAGUACAUGAGGGCCAGGGCCCGUGCUGGCACAGGAAGUAGACCGGUCCCUGCCCUCAUGGAGCAGCUCCUGGGACUCAGAGGAACACAAGCCGCCUGUGCCCAAGAGAUUUCCAAGCAUAAACGGAGGUCAAUGCCCCCCUCGCCUGCCCCGGAGGUGCCAAGGUGGUAAUUAGGCUUGGGGGUGGGUCCUGGAAGGGUGGGGGUGGCGUGGCCAUUAUCCCCAGGAGCUGAGCUGGGCAGGAGCUGUGUGGUCCAGGCAAAUGGGUGGUUUGUAGGUGGUCUGGAGAAUG